GUAGAAAUGUUUGCCUCUUUCAUUAGUGUUUGACUGCUAUGCUCUCUUAUUUCUUCCUUAUAAUUUUGUAAGCUUUCUCUCUCCUCCAUUACUAUUAGAUUUUUUUUCCUGCUCAAUGUUAUCAUAUGCGUUCUUCAAGCAGAUCUACCCUCUUAAUUUUUUUUUCUGUUAAUCUGAUGUGAGCCUGAGAAACCAGGUUCUUGAUAAAAGCUUAGAGGAGGAGGAGGGAGGAAAAAGAAGAUGUUUGUGAUGAUGAUAAUGAUGAUGGUGAUGCUGAUGGUGUUGAUGACCAUGAUGAUGCUGAUAAUGAAGUGUACAAAAUGAAGAAUGCUGAAUGGGAAAUAGCAAGACAGAUUUCAGCUCCACAUAAGGAAGGAUGUCCUGCAAAUUAGCAAAGCCUAAAAAUGAAACAUGAUGCUUUAAGAAAUACUGAUGAUUCAUAAAAGAAACUUUUAUUGUGAGAGUUUCUCUUCAUUGGGGCAAAUCAAUAAAAUGCCCAUAUUUUCUAACAUUCAAAUGUUGCUUGGAAUCACU
This 534-nucleotide long non-coding RNA is filed under the name Sarcophilus harrisii (Tasmanian devil). RNAcentral's name for it is "lncRNA (ENSSHAG00000021941.1)". The record is from RNAcentral. Lineage: Eukaryota; Metazoa; Chordata; Mammalia; Dasyuromorphia; Dasyuridae.